CCUACGGGUGGCAGCAGUGAGGAAUAUUGGUCAAUGGACGAGAGUCUGAACCAGCCAAGUAGCGUGAAGGAUGACUGCCCUAUGGGUUGUAAACUUCUUUUAUAUGGGAAUAAAAUGUUCCACGUGUGGGAUUUUGUAUGUACCAUAUGAAUAAGGAUCGGCUAACUCCGUGCCAGCAGCCGCGGUAAUACGGAGGAUCCGAUCGUUAUCCGGAUUUAUUGGGUUUAAAGGGAGCGUAGGUGGAUUGUUAAGUCAGUUGUGAAAGUUUGCGGCUCAACCGUAAAAUUGCAGUUGAAACUGGCAGUCUUGAGUACAGUAGAGGUGGGCGGAAUGCGGGGUGUAGCGGUGAAAUGCUUAGAUAUCACGAAGAACUCCGAUUGCGAAGGCAGUUCACUGGACUGCAACUGACACUGAGGCUCGAAAGUGUGGGUAUCAAACAGGAUUAGAUACCCUUGUAGUC
This 460-nucleotide ribosomal RNA is filed under the name uncultured bacterium. Its description in RNAcentral is "partial 16S ribosomal RNA". It matches the Rfam family "Bacterial small subunit ribosomal RNA", at positions 338 to 795 of the family's 1533-position model. The record is from RNAcentral.